This is a long non-coding RNA of Eptesicus fuscus (big brown bat), 718 nucleotides long. RefSeq lists it as uncharacterized. The record is from RefSeq and is a predicted model, not a curated record. Lineage: Eukaryota; Metazoa; Chordata; Mammalia; Chiroptera; Vespertilionidae. The transcript is spliced from 3 exons.
UGCAGAUCUGAGCAGACAGACAGGCAUCAGCACGGGGUCCCGCCACACCGCCCGGCACGCCUGCCCCCAAGACGGGAAAGGACUCCACCUGCAGGCGCUGCCCGAUGGUUAUCGUCUCUCUCAGGGCACCUGGCUGCCUGGCACCGUGUCAGUGGGCACGGCCGUCCCAGUGAGGAGAGACCGGCCGGCCGUCAGGGCCUCCGUGCACGCCUGUGGCCUGGUUACUGACGCCGCGGGCCCCGCUACAGACAGACCCCGACUGCCCACCGAUGCCCCCACUUCCAGCUGGAGCCCGGGGACGAGGGACCUCACCCUGUGAAACGGGACAGACCACGGCAUUCCCGACCCGCCCAGCCUCAGACAGCUCCACUUCCUGGUCCCUGCCCGGACGGACGGACGGACGGACGGACCGGGGCCCAGCAGCACAUGCAUCAAUGGACUAGACUGACAGCCACCCCCACAUUCAUGCGGCGCGAGUCACAGCAGCCACGAGGAGGUUCCCUGCACCAAGGACACCCUCCCGCGGCCCAGCGCAGGCCGAGAACAGGAGCCUGGGCUGCAGAGCCGGCCUGACAGCUCCCGGGCCGCUCGCUGUGGUGGGAGUGAGUCGGACGCUGCUGGGGGCCGGGAGGGGCCCGCCGCCCCCCUGCCUGGCUGUGUCCCGGGCGGACCUGCGCCCAGACCCGAGCGUGGCCGAGGGAGCGGACUCACAAUCCCG